Long non-coding RNA from Canis lupus familiaris (dog), 784 nucleotides. RefSeq lists it as uncharacterized. The record is from RefSeq and is a predicted model, not a curated record. The transcript has 3 exons. NCBI's taxonomy places the organism in Eukaryota, Metazoa, Chordata, Mammalia, Carnivora, Canidae.
CCAACCUCAUCCAUCUCUGAACUUCAGCGGAUAUAACAAGUCACAAACAAACCAAAUUUCAAGCAGCAGCCAAGAAGAAGCCUACCAAUAAUGGGCCAUAACACAGUUAUAGGGCUGAUCAGCUUUGGAAAGAAGCAGGAUCACCGUGGCUGCUGUUGAGAACAGAAUAUGCUAUGGGGGAGGCAGAGAGACUGGUUAGAAGACAAAGACCCAGCUGAGACAAGAUGGCAGCUUGGAAGCGGUGGUGAAAGUGGAGCUGCUUCAGAGGACUCAUCCAGCCUGCCUCACCUCCCCUAGCACGGAAAUGUCCACCCAUACCUAUAUUCCAUGAACCUGAGAAGCCCAACAUUCAGAACCAUGUCUCCCCAUAAAGACGAGGGCUUAAGAUAGCCCUGAGGGUAACAGAGGGGCGAGAAAUCUUUGGGGAGAAGCAGAAGGGUAUCUGGUUUUCUUCCAAAGCCCCCUGCCCCCUGCCCCCUGCUCCUUAGUCCUCAGUAGCCUUCCUCCCUUCCCUGGCCCUCCUCACCCUCUUGCUCAGCUGUUUUCUCUCUCAGUCAGGGGUUUGCGGUACCUCUUGUGGAUCCUCAUUCCCUUGAGGACAGGAGGCUGAGAGCUCACAUCCCGAGCUUCAGCUCUUUCCUGUAGCUACACUCCCAUCUCACCUUCACCCUGUUUUUGUGCCUCUACUUCCAAGGGGGGGAAUGAUCUCCAAGGGAGGAAGUUCCGAGCUAAGGAGGGAUGUCUGGAUUAAAAUUAUGUUGGGUGCCUGGCUGGAUCAAUUGGA